RNAcentral lists this ribosomal RNA (295 nucleotides) under uncultured bacterium. RNAcentral's name for it is "partial 16S ribosomal RNA". It matches the Rfam family "Bacterial small subunit ribosomal RNA", at positions 775 to 1067 of the family's 1533-position model. The record is from RNAcentral.
GGAUUAGAUACCCUGGUAGUCCACGCCGUAAACGAUGAUAACUAGCUGUCCGGGGACUUGGUCUUUGGGUGGCGCAGCUAACGCAUUAAGUUAUCCGCCUGGGGAGUACGGUCGCAAGAUUAAAACUCAAAGGAAUUGACGGGGGCCUGCACAAGCGGUGGAGCAUGUGGUUUAAUUCGAAGCAACGCGCAGAACCUUACCAGCGUUUGACAUGUCCGGACGACUUCGAGAGAUCGAUUUCUUCCCUUCGGGGACUGGAACACAGGUGCUGCAUGGCUGUCGUCAGCUCGUGUUG